AUACGUAGGGGGCGAGCGUUGUCCGGAAUGAUUGGGCGUAAAGGGCGCGUAGGCGGCCUGUUAAGUCUGGAGUGAAAGUCCUGUUUUCAAGAUGGGAAUUGCUUUGGAUACUGAUGGGCUUGAGUGCAGGAGAGGUUAUCGGAAUUCCCGGUGUAGCGGUGAAAUGCGUAGAGAUCGGGAGGAACACCAGUGGCGAAGGCGGGUAACUGGACUGCAACUGACGCUGAGGCGCGAAAGUGUGGGGAGCAAACAGGAUUAGAUACCCUGGUAGUCCACACUGUAAACGAUGAAUGCUAGGUGUAAGAGGUAUCGACCCCUUUUGUGCCGGAGUUAACACAAUAAGCAUUCCGCCUGGGGA
Molecule: ribosomal RNA, 358 nt
Filed under: uncultured bacterium
Lineage: Bacteria
Description: partial 16S ribosomal RNA
Rfam family: Bacterial small subunit ribosomal RNA
Source: RNAcentral